Molecule: ribosomal RNA, 497 nt
Filed under: uncultured bacterium
Lineage: Bacteria
Description: partial 16S ribosomal RNA
Rfam family: Bacterial small subunit ribosomal RNA
Source: RNAcentral
GAUGAACGCUGGCGGCGUGCCUAAUACAUGCAAGUCGAGCGAACAGACGAGGAGCUUGCUCCUCUGACGUUAGCGGCGGACGGGUGAGUAACACGUGGAUAACCUACCUAUAAGACUGGGAUAACGUCGGGAAACCGGAGCUAAUACCGGAUAAUAUAUUGAACCGCAUGGUUCAAUAGUGAAAGACGGGUUUGCUGUCACUUAUAGAUGGAUCCGCGCCGCAUUAGCUAGUUGGUAAGGUAACGGCUUACCAAGGCAACGAUGCGUAGCCGACCUGAGAGGGUGAUCGGCCACCCUGGAAUUGAGACACGGUCCAGACUCCUACGGGAGGCAGCAGUAGGGAAUCUUCCGCAAUGGGCGAAAGCCUGACGGAGCACCGCCGCGUGAGUGCUGAAGGUCUUCGGAUCGUAAAACUCUGUUAUUAGGGAAGAACAAAUGUGUAAGUAACUAUGCACGUCUUGACGGUACCUAAUCAGAAAGCCACGGCUAACUACGUG